RNAcentral lists this unclassified non-coding RNA (345 nucleotides) under soil metagenome. Its description in RNAcentral is "partial contains 5.8S ribosomal RNA, internal transcribed spacer 2, and large subunit ribosomal RNA". The stretch from base 1 to 120 matches the Rfam family "5.8S ribosomal RNA", at positions 35 to 154 of the family's 154-position model. The record is from RNAcentral.
GAUGAAGAACGCUGCGAAAUGCGAUACGUAAUGUGAAUUGCAGAAUUCAGUGAAUCAUCGAGUCUUUGAACGCACAUUGCGCCCCCUGGUAUUCCGGGGGGCAUGCCUGUCCGAGCGUCAUUGCUGCCCUCAAGCACGGCUUGUGUGUUGGGCCUCCGUCCUCCUCCCGGGGGACGGGCCCGAAAGGCAGCGGCGGCACCGCGUCCGGUCCUCGAGCGUAUGGGGCUUCGUCACCCGCUCUUGUAGGCCNNGCCGGCGCUUGCCGACACAUCAAUCUUUUUUCCAGGUUGACCUCGGAUCAGGUAGGGAUACCCGCUGAACUUAAGCAUAUCAAUAAGCGGAGGA